UAAUACUGUUUUUUUUUUUUUUUUCUUCUUUACAGCUUUCCAGACCAUUUAAACUUCCUUGGACUAGCUUCGAUGUUAUAUUCUCAAAGCUUGAAUUUUUAAUUAAUGUCUUCUAACUACUUUUGACUAGGAUUUUGCCAGUCAUAAAAAAAUUGCUUGCUAAUUUUGUAUUUGCUAUAAUACUUAGGUGAUAGAAAUAUCUGGGUUUUGUAGUUAGUGUUGAGUGACCUUUCCAGGAUUUAGUAUUGGUUUUGUGCUCUUCCCAUUCUCUCAUGGCAGUGACACACUGGAACCUGGGCUGAUUGCUUUGGAAUAUAGGGAGAACAUCUGGGAGAAGUCAACUGGAAUUCCUGAGUAAAAAGUAUUUAUCUGCCUUGGUUUCUAAUCUUUUCUUCAUUUAUUUUUAAAGGUCGGGGGAGAGAGGAAAAGAAAAAGAAAAAUUUUUGGUAUCUUCAUCUCUACUCAUUCUUUCCCAAAUAGCAGGGAUGACAGAAUAUAUCUUUCAAAAAGUUGAGAAGCCUUUCCUAUCCUAUUUUAAAAAAGUAGAUCUAAUAUAUCAUUCAAGGAAGGGAGGUCAUUCCAGGUCUUGAAAUUUCUGUAGGGAAGGGGCAAUCACAUGAAGAAGGGAGAAAGGAAUAAUGGGGUUAUGUUUGAAUAAUUCAUGGUUAUUUUACCAGAUUUGAAAUGGGCAAGUCAGCACCUUUUAAUCUCAAAUACUAUAAUAUGAGGAGGUAUGAGAUCUGUGCCUGGGCUCCCUGGAGACCUAUACCUGAAAUAACUUUAUUAACCCUGGCCUAGAACUGAGGAAAAAGAACUUCUCUGAGUUACCCCUUCUUUGAAGUUGCCUUGUUCCUAGAUGAUUUCCUUGAAAUAGAAUUGUCACUAAGGAUUUUUGUUUAAGUAGCUCCUUUCCAGAAGAUAUGUAAGUAAGGGUAUUCUUGUUC
This 944-nucleotide long non-coding RNA is filed under the name Marmota monax (woodchuck). Lineage: Eukaryota; Metazoa; Chordata; Mammalia; Rodentia; Sciuridae. The record is from RNAcentral.